RNAcentral lists this ribosomal RNA (297 nucleotides) under uncultured fungus. Its description in RNAcentral is "partial 18S ribosomal RNA". The record is from RNAcentral. Lineage: Eukaryota; Fungi.
GGCCAAUACCUUACCAUCGAAAGUUGAUAGGGCAGAAAUUUUGAAUGAACCGUCGCCGGCGCAAGGCCAUGCGAUCCGUAAAGUUAUCAUGAAUCACCAAGAAGCCCCGAAGGGCAUUGGUUUUUUAUCUAAUAAAUACACCCCUCCCGAAGUUGGGGUUUUCAGCAUGUAUUAGCUCUAGAAUUACCACGGUUAUCCAAGUAGUAAGGUACUAUCAAAUAAACGAUAACUGAUUUAAUGAGCCAUUCGCAGUUUCACGGUAUAAUUGCUUAUACUUAGACAUGCAUGGCUUAAUCU